Molecule: long non-coding RNA, 298 nt
Filed under: Cervus hanglu yarkandensis (Yarkand deer)
Lineage: Eukaryota; Metazoa; Chordata; Mammalia; Artiodactyla; Cervidae
Description: lncRNA (ENSCHYG00000022567.1)
Source: RNAcentral
GCCAAGUCCGUCCCAUUCCCAGCACAUCAGGAUCAAGACACUAUGGAUAAUAUUCAAGACCUACUGGCUACAAACCUUUAUAGGAUCAGGAGAGUGGCUCCAACAUAUAACAAGUAUGCCCUUCCAGGAGAAAGAGGAACAACAGAACAAGUAAAGGAAAUCCUCAUUCGCAGACACAAGAGCCUGCAACAAAGUCUUUCUCAAAGUGACUCUGAUCAGUCUCAAAAAGAGAGAGAUACCUAUUCUUUAUCACAUGAUGGUUCUGAAAGAAUGGAUAAACGAUGCCAGUCAUUCACUA